This 1521-nucleotide ribosomal RNA is filed under the name metagenome. RNAcentral describes it as "SSU rRNA". It matches the Rfam family "Eukaryotic small subunit ribosomal RNA", at positions 1 to 1582 of the family's 1831-position model. The record is from RNAcentral.
UCUGGUUGAUCCUGCCAGCCAUAUAUGCUUGUCUCAAAGACUAAGCCAUGCAUGUCUAAGUAUAAAUAGUAUACAGUGAAACUGCGAAUGGCUCAUUAAAACAGUUAUAGUUUAUUUGAUAAUGUUUUUCUACAUGGAUAACCGUGGUAAUUCUAGAGCUAAUACAUGCUGUUUACCUGACUUCAUGGAAAGGUUGUAUUUAUUAGAUAUCAAACCAAUAGCGGCAACGUUAUUGUGGUGAAUCAUAGUAACUGAUCGAAUCGCAGUCAACCUGCGAUGGGUCAUUCAAGUUUCUGCCCUAUCAGCUUUCGAUGGUAGUGUAUUGGACUACCAUGGCAAUCACGGGUAACGGAGAAUUAGGGUUCGAUUCCGGAGAGGGAGCCUGAGAAACGGCUACCACAUCUAAGGAAGGCAGCAGGCGCGUAAAUUACCCAAUCCUGACUCAGGGAGGUAGUGACAAGAAAUAACAAAUUGGGGGCUGUCAUGCCUUACGAUAUUGCAAUGACAACAAUUUAAAUUACUUAAGGAGGAACAAUUGGAGGGCAAGUCUGGUGCCAGCAGCCGCGGUAAUUCCAGCUCCAAUAGCGUAUAUUAAAGUUGUUGCAGUUAAAAAGCUCGUAGUUGUACUUCUGGUCGCCUGAUUGGAAUCUCGGUUUCUCUCAGACGGCCAUCCGUCUGCAAACCACUUUUGUACUUCACUGUAUGGGGUGGGGAGUAGACAAUUUACUUUGAAAAAAUUAGAGUGUUUCAGGCAGGUUUCCGCCCGAAUACAUUAGCAUGGAAUAAUGGAAUAGGAUGAGUAUCCAUUUUAUUGGUUAUUGGAUAUUUAUAAUGAUAAAUAGAAACAGUUGGGGGCAUUAGUAUUUAAUUGUCAGAGGUGAAAUUCUUGGAAUUAUUAAAGACUAACUUAUGCGAAAGCAUUUGCCAAGGAUGUUUUCAUUGAUCAAGAACGAAAGUUAGGGGAUCAAAGACGAUCAGAUACCGUCGAAGUCUUAACUAUAAACUAUACCGACUCGGGAUCAGCAAAACACUAUACUUUUGUUGGCACCGUAUGAGAAAUCAAAGUCUUUGGGUUCUGGGGGGAGUAUGGUCGCAAGGCUGAAACUUAAAGGAAUUGACGGAAAGGCACCACCAGGAGUGGAUUAUGCGGCUUAAUUUGACCCAACACGGGGAAACUUACCAGGUCAAAACAUGAAUGGGAUUGACAGAUUGAGAGCUCUUUCUUGAUUUUGUGGGUGGUGGUGCAUGGCCGUUCUUAGUUGGUGGAGUGAUUUGUCUGGUUAAUUCCGAUAACGAACGAGACCUUAACCUGCUAAAUAGUUUCCUGAUCAACAAUUGGGAUAACUUCUUAGAGGGACUAUGAGAUGGAAGCUCAUGGAAGUUUGAGGCAAUAACAGGUCUGUGAUGCCCUUAGAUGUCCUGGGCCGCACGCGCAAUACAAUGACACGUUCAGCAAGUUUUAUCCUGGCUCGAUAGAGUUUCGGGUAAUCUUUUCAGUACGUGUCGUAUUAGGGAUAGAUC